AUUGAACGCUGGCGGCAUGCUUUACACAUGCAAGUCGAACGGCAGCGCGGGCUUCGGCCUGGCGGCGAGUGGCGAACGGGUGAGUAAUGCAUCGGAACGUGCCCAGUAGUGGGGGAUAGCCCGGCGAAAGCCGGAUUAAUACCGAAUCCGACCUGAGGGUGAAAGCGGGGGACCGAAAGGCCUUGCGCUAUUGGAGCGGCCGAUGUCGGAUUAGCUAGUUGGUGGGGUAAAGGCUUACCAAGGCGACGAUCCGUAGCUGGUCUGAGAGGACGACCAGCCACACUGAGACUGAGACACGGCCCAGACUCCUACGGGAGGCAGCAGUGGGGAAUUUUGGACAAUGGGGGCAACCCUGAUCCAGCCAUGCCGCGUGCGGGAAGAAGGCCUUCGGGUUGUAAACCGCUUUUGUUCGGGAAGAAAUCCUCUGGGCUAAUACCCCGGGGGGAUGACGGUACCGGAAGAAUAAGCACCGGCUAACUACGUG
RNAcentral lists this ribosomal RNA (484 nucleotides) under uncultured bacterium. RNAcentral's name for it is "partial 16S ribosomal RNA". It matches the Rfam family "Bacterial small subunit ribosomal RNA", at positions 29 to 507 of the family's 1533-position model. The record is from RNAcentral.